RNAcentral lists this ribosomal RNA (497 nucleotides) under uncultured bacterium. RNAcentral describes it as "partial 16S ribosomal RNA". It matches the Rfam family "Bacterial small subunit ribosomal RNA", at positions 28 to 507 of the family's 1533-position model. The record is from RNAcentral.
GAUGAACGCUGGCGGCGUGCCUAAUACAUGCAAGUCGAGCGAACGGACGAGAAGCUUGCUUCUCUGAUGUUAGCGGCGGACGGGUGAGUAACACGUGGAUAACCUACCUAUAAGACUGGGAUAACUUCGGGAAACCGGAGCUAAUACCGGAUAAUAUUUUGAACCGCAUGGUUCAAAAGUGAAAGACGGUCUUGCUGUCACUUAUAGAUGGAUCCGCGCCGCAUUAGCUAGUUGGUAAGGUAACGGCUUACCAAGGCAACGAUGCAUAGCCGACCUGAGAGGGUGAUCGGCCACACUGGAACUGAGACACGGUCCAGACUCCUACGGGAGGCAGCAGUAGGGAAUCUUCCGCAAUGGGCAAAAGCCUGACGGAGCAACGCCGCGUGAGUGAUGAAGGUCUUCGGAUCGUAAAACUCUGUUAUUAGGGAAGAACAUAUGUGUAAGUAACUGUGCACAUCUUGACGGUACCUAAUCAGAAAGCCACGGCUAACUACGUG